Long non-coding RNA from Olea europaea var. sylvestris, 1420 nucleotides. RefSeq lists it as uncharacterized. The record is from RefSeq and is a predicted model, not a curated record. Lineage: Eukaryota; Viridiplantae; Streptophyta; Magnoliopsida; Lamiales; Oleaceae. The transcript has 3 exons.
UCUUGUUUUUGUUCUUGUUCUUCUUUUUUCUUGGUUUUGAAUCUGGAAUUUUUCUAGUAUGUUAAUCACCGAGUUGUUCCUGUAAACUGGUGUUGUUACAAUAAUUAAUAGGCUUGGAAUAUUGGUUAUCUAUUGUAGGUCGAUUUUUUAUAGUUAGAGAAGAAGAAGGUGUGUCCAGUUUGGAGAUCUUUGUGGGUCGAUGAACAUACUAUUUGUACUGAGUGGUUUUUUAUAUUUUACUCUCUCUGCGAUGCAGUUUGCACAUAGUAGACUGGGUUAAUCUUAAGCCCUCAGAUUAAGCCAUUUACGGUCGAACUGGGUGAACAUUUUGUCGUGUUCGUUACUUUCUUGCAUUUUGUGUUUGGUUUACUGUAUUUUGUUUGUGUUUUUUGGACCGAAAUUCCUAACAAAUUCUAGAAUCAGAGCUAGUUCUUGAGGCUUUUGGGUAAACUCAUUUUUCUUAAGGAUAAUUUUUUUUGAGUUGGUAAAAGAUUUGUAAGAUUUCAGUUUUUCUUUUUUGAAGCUCUUGAUCUUUUUUUAAAAAUAUUUUUUGUAUAGCACUCUGUUCAGAUCUGCAAAGAUCUAAACAGAUAGUUUGAGUUUUCUAACAUCUCUUUUAAGUGUGAAAGUAAAGUGACUUUUCUCGUUUCUUUUUUCUUGGUUGGUUUUCUUAGACAGAACUUAGCAAGUGAAAGAGUAUCUUUUAUGAAUUGGUAGCACUAUUUUUCAACAAUGCUGGUUACUUGGGCAAUGAUGAUGAUUAGCCUUCCAUAAAUGUGUAAUUCUGCAACUGAGAGAAAAAGAUGGAACUUCAUUUUGGAAUUUUUUCCUAUUUCACCUGUCAGAAAUGCUUCAGCGAAGGUAAUUUUAUACACGCAAAGCUUUACAUUUAUUAUACGUAUUGUCAGUAUUGCAAUAAUUGAGAAGAAAUCUAGUCUAUCCUCGAAAUGUAUACCUGUGUCUUGGAUCAAGAAAUGAAUGAAUCUGCAUGGUUCAUUAGAGACGUUAGGCAAAGUGGAAAGCUGAUUACAACUUUAUGUCAUUGAACCACUUCAUGUAAACCGAUUUUUUCUUAUCUAAUAUAUCAUUUCCGUGUCGCCUCAUGUGCUGAACAAAUGUGUUGGUAGCGUACUUGGUGUUCAGAUAGACGAUAGUUGAAAGAAUCAAGAGAAACAUGGGUCAGGCCCUGAAUUGAUUCAGCUUUGUUGUGAAUGCUGUCAAAGUUGCAGUGAGAAGCUUGUCGAUGGGUACCAGCACCUCUUAGACGCAUUCACCAGUAAGAUUGAAAGGCAAAUCUAGCAGAUUAAUUGUCACACAUCAAAUUCUACAUUGAACUUUUUGUAAAUAGCUUUUUCCUAGUUCUUGAUUCUAAGAUGACUAUAUAACUUUCCUCACGCUUCUACACUAGGCUACUCAUCUU